AGAAUCAACGCUGGCGGCGUGCCUAACACAUGCAAGUCGAACGAGAAAGGGGUAGCAAUACCCUGAGUAAAGUGGCGCACGGGUGAGUAACACGUGACUAACCUACCCUGGAGUGGGGGAUAACUGAGGGAAACCUUAGCUAAUACCGCAUAAUACCCACGGGUCAAAGGAGCAAUUCGCUCUGGGAGGGGGUCGCGGCCGAUUAGUUAGUUGGCGGGGUAACGGCCCACCAAGACGAUGAUCGGUAUCCGGCCUGAGAGGGCGCACGGACACACUGGAACUGAAACACGGUCCAGACUCCUACGGGAGGCAGCAGUGGGGAAUUUUGCGCAAUGGGGGAAACCCUGACGCAGCAACGCCGCGUGGAGGAUGAAGUCCUUCGGGACGUAAACUCCUUUCGAUCGGGACGAUUAUGACGGUACCGGAAGAAGAAGCCCCGGCUAACUUCGUGCCAGCAGCCGCGGUAAUACGAGGGGGGCGAGCGUUGUUCGGAAUUAUUGGGCGUAAAGGGUGCGUAGGCGGUUUUGUAAGUCUUAUGUGAAAUCUAUGGGCUCAACUCAUAGACUGCAUGAGAAACUGCAGGGCUCGAGUAUGGGAGAGGUGAGUGGAAUUCCUGGUGUAGCGGUGAAAUGCGUAGAUAUCAGGAGGAACACCUGUGGCGAAAGCGGCUCACUGGACCAUAACUGACGCUGAUGCACGAAAGCUAGGGGAGCAAACAGGAUUAGAUACCCUGGUAGUCCUAGCCCUAAACCAUGAUUGCUUGGUGUGACGGGUACCCAAUCCCGCCGUGCCGUAGCUAACGCGUUAAGCAAUCCGCCUGGGGAGUACGGUCGCAAGGCUGAA
Molecule: ribosomal RNA, 843 nt
Filed under: uncultured bacterium
Lineage: Bacteria
Description: bacterial SSU rRNA
Rfam family: Bacterial small subunit ribosomal RNA
Source: RNAcentral